Molecule: transfer RNA, 69 nt
Filed under: Leucoma chrysoscela
Lineage: Eukaryota; Metazoa; Arthropoda; Insecta; Lepidoptera; Erebidae
Description: tRNA-Ser
Source: RNAcentral
GAAAUAUAAAUUAUUUAAAAUUAAGCUGCUAACUUGAUUUUUAGUGGUUAAUUCCCAUUAAUAUUUCUA